AGCGGUGGAAUGCGCAGAUAUCAGGAGGAACACCGAUGGCGAAGGCAGAUCUCUGGGCCGUAACUGACGCUGAGGAGCGAAAGGGUGGGGAGCAAACAGGCUUAGAUACCCUGGUAGUCCACCCCGUAAACGUUGGGAACUAGUUGUGGGGUCCAUUCCACGGAUUCCGUGACGCAGCUAACGCAUUAAGUUCCCCGCCUGGGGAGUACGGCCGCAAGGCUAAAACUCAAAGGAAUUGACGGGGACCCGCACAAGCGGCGGAGCAUGCGGAUUAAUUCGAUGCGACGCGAAGAACCUUACCAAGGCUUGACAUAUACGAGAACGCUGCAGAAAUGUAGAACUCUUUGGACACUCGUAAACAGGUGGUGCAUGGUUGUCGUCAGCUCGUGUCGUGAGAUGUUGGGUUAAGUCCCGCAACGAGCGCAACCCUCGUUCUAUGUUGCCAGCACGUAAUGGUGGGAACUCAUGGGAUACUGCCGGGGUCAACUCGGAGGAAGGUGGGGAUGACGUCAAAUCAUCAUGCCCCUUAUGUCUUGGGCUUCACGCAUGCUACAAUGGCCGGUACAAAGGGCUGCAAUACCGUAAGGUGGAGCGAAUCCCAAAAAGCCGGUCCCAGUUCGGAUUGAGGUCUGCAACUCGACCUCAUGAAGUCGGAGUCGCUAGUAAUCGCAGAUCAGCAACGCUGCGGUGAAUACGUUCCCGGGUCUUGUACACACCGCCCGUCAAGUCAUGAAAGUCGUAACACCUGAAGCCGGUGGCCCAACCCUUGUGGAGGAGCCGUCGAAGUGGAUCG
Molecule: ribosomal RNA, 793 nt
Filed under: uncultured bacterium
Lineage: Bacteria
Description: bacterial SSU rRNA
Rfam family: Bacterial small subunit ribosomal RNA
Source: RNAcentral